GUAAACAUAGUUUAUUAAAAUACUAGACCGUGACUCU
Molecule: transfer RNA, 37 nt
Filed under: Parvilacerta parva
Lineage: Eukaryota; Metazoa; Chordata; Lepidosauria; Squamata; Lacertidae
Description: partial tRNA-His
Source: RNAcentral